UUUAACCAAAAAAAAUGCAUUAAAAAAAAGGAAAUGUUUAAUAAAUUCUUUUCUUCCUUCUUUCCUCACAUUCUAUGAACUAGGUAUUAAAAGUAUGAGCGAGCCCAUUUACAAAUGAGAAAACUAAGGCUCAUAAUCACACAACCACUAAGUGCUGAAGAUGGGUAGAACUGGCCCUCUGUUUGCUUCCUCGUGCUGCUAUCCCCAAACCCAUUAACCUGCACCAGGCACCAGGCACUUUCCACCCAAGCAUCGCAGGGUCCCCGGAGAACGGGAGACAAUGAGUACCCCAGACUCCCACGCAGGGAGGGCGUGGGUCCCGGCGUUUCUGAGGGAGCUUCGGCCAGUCCCAUCGGGGGCUCUGCAGAAACUCGGGCCCAGCCCGGCUGCUGCCACCUACGGCGCGGACCUAAUCCUGUCCCACCUGGACUGAUAAAGCGACCUUCUAACAGCCUCCCUGCUUCAAACCUCUCCCCACUGCAACCCCUCUCUGCUCAGCUGCUAAGGUCUGACGGCGUCAUCUCCCCUUCGCUCAGCAAAUUUCAGGGGCUCCCUAGUCCCUCUAGGAUCAAUGACAAAGUCAGGCCUGUGUUUUAUUGGUACAGCUUUUCUCCUGUCACAGGUCACUUAGACACCUGUCUCAAGCAGGGGAAGUUGCGCCUCGUUCUCAUCGUGGUUUCCUGCCUUGCCUUGGCAGGACAAGACCACAUGACUGGGGGGGCUCAGGCUGGACGUUCCCCACCCUCAGUGUAGAAGAUGUGACACUUGAGGGAAGGAAACAGGGAUUCCCAGGGACACUGUGCCUUCCAGGGAGGGGGGCAGGGGCGCAGGGGCCCUAGGGGGCGAUGGGAGAGCUCUAGGUUUCGGGCCUUGCCCAGUUCUCAGGGCAGUGCAGGGCUUCCUGCUACUCGUGCCACGACCAGCCGGCUUUCGCCAGUUUUCCCCCCGGUUUCUCCUGGGCACAGCUUCUUUUCUGAUACCCUGCAGCCUGCUCAUGCCGAUCUACUCUUCUGGGUAACUCAAAACUGUUAAUUCAGAAACUGGUGUUCCGUGACUGGCAGCUGACAGCAUGGCCCAGAGGUGUUUAAAAGGUGGGUGCAUUUGGGGAAGGACAAGUGGGACUCGUGUCCAGUGCCCUAGAGGAGAGGAGACUGCUCCGAGGAUGGCUGUCCUGGAGGGAGAGAGAGAGCAGAUCUCUGAGCCUCACA
Molecule: long non-coding RNA, 1208 nt
Organism: Sarcophilus harrisii (Tasmanian devil)
Lineage: Eukaryota; Metazoa; Chordata; Mammalia; Dasyuromorphia; Dasyuridae
Exons: 2
Source: RefSeq, a predicted model, not a curated record